UAAGUAUAUUGGACAUAUGACAGAUGAAAAUUUUGUAACAUUAGGCAUCUUGAUACAACAGAUAAAGCAUCUGGUUCUUCAACCCUCUGAAUAUAAAGCUAAACUCCACAAUCAGGUAGUAUUCUGAAUGUCAUGUAUUCUGUGACUGUUAGUACACUCGCACUACAGAUGCAAUAAUAAUGACUUAAAGUCAUCAUUAGAGAGCAAUUAUUUGUCUUGUUUACCAAUUUUCUUUACAAAAAAAAACAUCAGCUUUUCCAUUGGAACAACUUUAUUCCUCUUUUUGUUGUUCCUUUAUUCACACGAGGCAGACAUCAUACAGGAGCUUCUUAGGAAGAAUGAUAUUAUAUAAAUACCUAUUCAAGUUUGUUGACCUUUUAACAGAUGACUAGGGAUAUGUUCCAAAUGCAGUAACCACAUUCCUGUCCAUCUUUUUCCUGAAUUCUACACAUCACGGGGUUUUUACAUGAGCAAAGUGCUUCACACCACAUGUGGAACAGGAUCUGUUUAU
RNAcentral lists this long non-coding RNA (511 nucleotides) under Mytilus galloprovincialis (Mediterranean mussel). The record is from RNAcentral. Lineage: Eukaryota; Metazoa; Mollusca; Bivalvia; Mytilida; Mytilidae.